UAAAAGGUUUUCCUUAAAAACACUUCACACAAACAAAAACAAUGUUU
This is a non-coding RNA of Takifugu rubripes (torafugu), 47 nucleotides long. The record is from Rfam. Lineage: Eukaryota; Metazoa; Chordata; Actinopteri; Tetraodontiformes; Tetraodontidae.